Non-coding RNA from Miniopterus natalensis, 1252 nucleotides. NCBI's taxonomy places the organism in Eukaryota, Metazoa, Chordata, Mammalia, Chiroptera, Miniopteridae. The record is from RefSeq and is a predicted model, not a curated record.
UUCACUCUGAUGCAGAGACAUCAAGUUCUCCCUGAACCCUGAUUCCACCUUGGCCCUGGGCUUGAGGCAGUGGUGGUGGCCUCCUGGAGACCCUCAACACACCCUUCACAUAGGUGAAUGAGAGGUUCAAAGCCACCUACCCAUCCAGCAGCCUCAGCAUCUUCACUGUCAACCCAUCAGAACCCAGCUCCACUUGCUCUGUGCCAAAGAGCCAAAUACUUUCCAUACAUUAUUUCAAUUACCAUAUGUGAGAAGACUACUAUUAUUAGAGUAUUUGCAGAUGAGGAAACUGAGGCUCAGAGAGUAGAUGUACUCACCCAAGUUUACACACCUAUUCAGUGAAGAACUUGGGUCUCUAAGGCCUAGGGCCUUCACUGCUACACCACACUACCUCCCAGCCCUAUCCCUAUCCCAGGCCCUGAUCCCAUCCUGAACCAGUUCUGAGUGACCUCAGGCCUGGCCUGAAACCCCUUCAGACUGAGCCUCAAUUAAGUCCCAAGCCCUGUCUUAUUUCUCCAGCUUUCCCAUACCAGGGACAGGAUAGGUUAUGCAGGCCAAGGUGAGUUCAGGAGAGCCCCAGGGGAGGAAGGGCCUCCUGGGAAUGAUGGGUGGUUCUAUCUCCUGGGGUCCACAACGGAGCCAGCAGCAAAGGUUCCAGUUAGACCCUCUGAGGAGUGUAUGAACCUAUCCCUAGGAGCUUGGGGGCACACACUCACUCCACACACAUAGACAUAAACACAGGUACACACUCAUCCAAGUGUGCAUAUUUGGGCUCAGCAGACACAGGUACACACUAAUGUAUAUAUAGCCACAGACACAGUCAUGCAGGUCUACACAAACAAAUGUGCCAGGGCCCUGAGUGGUUGGUUUCAUGCUCACCGGACUCACACUGGGGCCUUUGAAUCUGGCUCCUCCAUGGGGCUCCAAGCAGAGCCCCUGAGGUCCUCCUCACUGCCUCUGAAUCCUUGAGUGACCUCCCUCCCGUCUUCUCUUUCACAGCCCAUCUGUGAGCAUAUGGCAGAGUCUCCAGAGUGUUCCCAGACAUCUAACCCAGUCUGCGGCACUGAUGGGGUUACAUAUGACAGUGAAUGCCAGCUUUGCUUAGUCCGGAUGAAAACCAAACAGGACAUCCAGAUCGUGAAGGAUGGCAAAUGCUGAUCCCACAGGAACCUCAUAAGCCAUGAAGCUUUGGGCUGGAGAACAGUGGUGGGAGUGGGAAGGAUGUGACAUGAAAUAAAAGAUCCAGCCCAAC